This is a long non-coding RNA of Ostrinia nubilalis (European corn borer), 927 nucleotides long. RefSeq lists it as uncharacterized. NCBI's taxonomy places the organism in Eukaryota, Metazoa, Arthropoda, Insecta, Lepidoptera, Crambidae. The transcript has 2 exons. The record is from RefSeq and is a predicted model, not a curated record.
GUCACCAUACGGUCUACAAUCGUUAUUGUUUUAUUGAAUAUUCAAUUACAUCAUAAUAUCUACAAUUACAAUAAAGAUACAAUAAUACCACGAUAAGGAAGUUCGUAACGAUUGAACUAUAAAGUAUCAACAUUGCAAGCACGUGCUAUUUAACAUACGAGUAAUCCAGUAGGUCUCACGUCUAGUUUACAGAAAAACGUUUACAAAAAUACUGUUUACAUAACAGUUAGUGACAGAUCAGAUUAAAGGACACCAUCAUUCCUGUGUCGGCUCUCGGGAGAAGCAGACGUGUGACUCAGUGUAAACCAAAUUGACAAUACAGUUCGUGUAAAUUGUAAACAAACGCUGUGUUUAGUGCAUGUUAUUAAUCAUGGCACGAAUGAUAAUAUUGCUGCUAUGUGCGUUAGUGCUGGUAUCUGACAUCACUGGAUACAUAGUAACAUCACAGGACACCAAGAAAGAUACCACCAUGGAUAAAGCCACCAGCGAGCAAAAACCGCCACUAAGUUCACAAAAGUCUGAAGACUAUAUAAAAUACAGCUAUGUUAUAACUACCAUAUUAUAGUAAUAUGUGUUUGUAUUAAUGUUAGUAGCCAAUUUUAAAUGUCUCAUUAAAGUUAAAUUUUUAAAUGUAAACAAUAAGGAACAAAUCUCAACUUUCUCUCAGAUAUUAUGUAAUGUAGAGUCAAUCCGAAUUUUUCGUUUAUGUCUUUCAAGAAUACACUAACUGUGAUUCGCGUUUUAGUGCCAAAAUAGAUAUUGUACCUACUUAACUGUGAUCCUAAUGAUAAAUAUGUGAAACUAGUUAUUUAAGUGACUAAUAAUAUUACUUGCAACUUAUGCAGUAAAAAAUAUACACGACUGAAACUUAUUUUCUAUAGUAUUGUAAAGAUUAUGGCCUAAUAAAGUUAUUUUUGUAAAAUUUGA